UCGAAACUGCCCUGUCCAACGCUUCGGUACGCAAAGUCGGCUGGCCGUAGGGCCGGACGUCUUGGGGUAAUAAUGAGCCGGGGAAAGCGCGAGAGUGGUGACACAGCAGCGAGGACUGGUCGCCGUGGUGAGUGGAAGGAUGACUGAGUCG
This 151-nucleotide non-coding RNA is filed under the name Vitrella brassicaformis. The record is from RNAcentral. Lineage: Eukaryota; Vitrellaceae.